UAGGGAAUAUUGGUCAAUGGAGGCAACUCUGAACCAGCCAUGCCGCGUGCAGGAAGACUGCCCUAUGGGUUGUAAACUGCUUUUGUACGGGAAGAAACCUUACUACGUGUAGUAAGUUGACGGUACCGUGAGAAUAAGGAUCGGCUAACUUCGUGCCAGCAGCCGCGGUAAUACGAAGGAUCCAAGCGUUGUCCGGAUUUACUGGGUUUAAAGGGUGCGUAGGUGGACUAAUAAGUCAGUGGUGAAAGCCUGCAGCUUAACUGUAGAAUUGCCAUUGAAACUGUUCGUCUCGAGUAUGGUUGAGGUUACUGGAAUAUAUCAUGUAGCGGUGAAAUGCUUAGAUAUGAUAUAGAACACCAAUUGCGAAGGCAGGUAACUAAGCCAUAACUGACACUGAGGCACGAAAGCGUGGGGAUCAAACAGG
This 424-nucleotide ribosomal RNA is filed under the name uncultured bacterium. RNAcentral describes it as "bacterial SSU rRNA". It matches the Rfam family "Bacterial small subunit ribosomal RNA", at positions 355 to 776 of the family's 1533-position model. The record is from RNAcentral.